UACGGGGGGGGCAAGCGUUGUUCGGAAUUACUGGGCGUAAAGGGCUCGUAGGUGGCCAACUAAGUCAUACGUGAAAUCCCUCGGCUUAACCGGGGAACUGCGUCUGAUACUGGAUGGCUUGAGAUUGGGAGAGGGAUGCGGAAUUCCUGGUGUAGCGGUGGAAUGCGCAGAUAUCAGGAGGAACACCGAUGGCGAAGGCAGAUCUCUGGGCCGUAACUGACGCUGAGGAGCGAAAGCAUGGGGAGCGAACAGG
RNAcentral lists this ribosomal RNA (253 nucleotides) under uncultured bacterium. RNAcentral's name for it is "partial 16S ribosomal RNA". It matches the Rfam family "Bacterial small subunit ribosomal RNA", at positions 524 to 776 of the family's 1533-position model. The record is from RNAcentral.